UCAAGUAAAUAAGCGCAUACGGUGGAUGCCUUGGCAGCUAGAGGCGAUGAAGGACGUAGUAACUUGCGAUAAGCUUCGGGGAGCCGGUAAACAGGCUUUGAUCCGAAGAUUUCCGAAUGGGAAAACCCACCUAGGAUAACCUAGGUAUCUUUAUCUGAAUUCAUAGGAUAUAGAGGCAAACGCGGAGAACUGAAACAUCUUAGUAACCGCAGGAAAAGAAAUCAAUUGAGAUUCUGUUAGUAGCGGCGAGCGAAAGCGGAACAGCCCUUAAGCUUUUAUUUGGUUAGAAGAAUGGUCUGGAAAGGCCGGCCGUAGAAGGUGAUAGCCCUGUAUACGAAAACUAAAUAUAAGUGAAAUCGAGUAGGUCGGGACACGAGAAAUCUUGACUGAAUAUGGGGGGACCAUCCUCCAAGGCUAAAUACUCCUAGCUGACCGAUAGUGAACCAGUACCGUGAGGGAAAGGCGAAAAGUACCCCGGAGAGGGGAGUGAAAUAGAACCUGAAACCGUUUGCGUACAAGCUGUCGGAGCUUUUUUUACCUUCGGGUAAAACGAGUGACGGCGUACCUUUUGUAUAAUGGGUCAGCGAGUUAUUUUCUGUGGCAAGCUUAACUUUAUGAGGAAGGCGCAGGGAAACCGAGUCUUAAUAGGGCGAUUUAGUCUCAGGUAAUAGACGCGAAACCGGACGAUCUAUCCAUGGCCAGGGUGAAGGUGAGGUAACACUUACUGGAGGCCCGAACCCACCUAUGUUGAAAAAUGGGGGGAUGAGCUGUGGAUCGGAGUGAAAGGCUAAUCAAGUUCGGAGAUAUCUCGUUCUCCCCGAAAUCUAUUUAGGUAGAGCCUCUUGUAUUACUGUUGGGGGUAGAGCACUGUUUCGGCUAGGGGGUCAUCCCGACUUACCAAACCGAUGCAAACUCCGAAUACCAACAAGUACAGCAAGGGAGACAGACUGCGGGUGCUAACGUCCGUAGUCGAGAGGGAAACAACCCAGACCGCCAGCUAAGGUCCCAAAUUGUGAUUAAGUGGGAAACGGUGUCGGAAGGCUUAAACAGCUAGGAGGUUGGCUUAGAAGCAGCCAUCCUUUAAAGAAAGCGUAACAGCUCACUAGUCGAGUCGGCCUGCGCGGAAAAUUUAACGGGGCUAAAUCACAAACCGAAGCUGCGGAUAAUUUACCGGUUACGGCCGGUUUAUUAUGGUAGGGGAGCAUUCUGUAAGCCGUUGAAGGCAGAUUGUGAGAUCUGCUGGAGGUAUCAGAAGUGAGAAUGCUGACAUGAGUAACGAUAAGAGAGGUGAAAAACCUCUCCGCCGAAAACCCAAGGUUUCCUGUCCAACGUUAAUCGGGACAGGGUAAGUCGACCCCUAAGGCGAGGGCGAAAGCCGUAGUCGAUGGGAAAUAGGUUAAUAUUCCUAUACUUCUUGUUACUGCGAUGGAGUGACGGAGAAGGCUAGGCCAGCAAGGCGAUGGUUGUCCUUGUUUAAGGUUGUAGGCUGGAAUUCUAGGUAAAUCCGGAAUUCUAAGGCUGAGAACUGAUGACGAAUAUUUCUUUUAGAAAUACCAAGUGGUUGAUGCCAUGCUUCCAGGAAAAACUUCUAAGCUUCAGGUAGCAAGGAAUCGUACCGUAAACCGACACAGGUGGGUGGGUAGAGAAUACCAAGGCGCUUGAGAGAACUCUGGUGAAGGAACUAGGCAAAAUGGUACCGUAACUUCGGGAGAAGGUACGCCCUCAUUACGUGAAGAGACUUGCUCUCGGAGCGGAAGGGGGUCGAAGAUACCAGGUGGCUGCGACUGUUUACUAAAAACACAGCACUCUGCUAACACGAAAGUGGACGUAUAGGGUGUGACGCCUGCCCGGUGCCGGAAGGUUAAUUGACUGGGUUAGCCCUUGUGGCGACGCCCAUGAUCGAAGCCCCGGUGAACGGCGGCCGUAACUAUAACGGUCCUAAGGUAGCGACAUUCCUUAUCGGGUAAGUUCCGACCUGCACGAAUGGCGUAACGAUGGCCACGCUGUCUCCACCAGAGACCCAGUGA
Molecule: ribosomal RNA, 2027 nt
Filed under: marine metagenome
Description: bacterial LSU rRNA
Rfam family: Bacterial large subunit ribosomal RNA
Source: RNAcentral